UACGUAGGGAGCGAGCGUUGUCCGGAUUUACUGGGUGUAAAGGGUGCGUAGGCGGGUUUGCAAGUCAGGCGUGAAAUACCGAUGCUUAACAUCGGGGCUGCGCUUGAAACUGUAGAUCUUGAGUGAAGUAGAGGCAAGCGGAAUUCCUAGUGUAGCGGUGAAAUGCGUAGAUAUUAGGAGGAACACCAGUGGCGAAGGCGGCUUGCUGGGCUUUAACUGACGCUGAGGCACGAAAGCGUGGGGAGCAAACAGGAUUAGAUACCCGGGUA
This 269-nucleotide ribosomal RNA is filed under the name uncultured prokaryote. Its description in RNAcentral is "partial 16S ribosomal RNA". It matches the Rfam family "Bacterial small subunit ribosomal RNA", at positions 524 to 792 of the family's 1533-position model. The record is from RNAcentral.